This is an RNA transcript of Panicum virgatum (switchgrass), 1588 nucleotides long. RefSeq lists it as uncharacterized. NCBI's taxonomy places the organism in Eukaryota, Viridiplantae, Streptophyta, Magnoliopsida, Poales, Poaceae. The record is from RefSeq and is a predicted model, not a curated record. The transcript is spliced from 4 exons.
AUGGGACUGGCGGCGCCGGUGGCGCGGAGGGCGGUCGGAGCCCUGCUGUUCCUAGCGACCGUGGCCCUCCCGUGCCUCGUGACGCGCUCGCCGCCAUGGCGCCAUGCAUUCAGGACGGCGAGGCUGGAGCGGGUGCUGCGGGGGGCGGCGAUGGCGAACGACACGGUGAUCCUGACGACGCUGAACUCGGCCGGCGUGGUCGGAGCCCGGCUCCAUGCUGGACGUCUUCCUGGAGAGCUUCAGGACCGGCGAGAGCACCAGGGAGCUCCUGGACCACCUCGUCAUCGUGUCGCUGGACACGACGGCGCACGCGCGCUGCAGGCAGAUACACCGGCGCCGGCACUGCCUAGCCCUCGUCACGGACGGCGUCGACUUCUCCGGGCAGAAGAACUUCAUGACAAACGGAUACCUCAAGAUGAUGUGAAGGAUCGACUUCCUCAGGCAAGUCCUUGAGAAAGGCUUCAGCUUCAUUUUCACGGACACGGACAUCGUGUGGUUCAGAAACCCGCUGCCGCAGUUCUACCCGGACGGGGACUUGCAGAUCGCGUGCGAUCGCUUCACCGGCGACCCAGACGACCUGAGCAACGCGCCCAACGGCGGGUUUGCGUACGUGUGUUCCAAUACGGAGACGAUCGAGUUCUACAAGUUCUGGUCAAAUCAGCUGCUCCACGACCAGGAUGUGCUCAACGCCAUCAAGAGCGACCCCUACGUCGCCGAGCUCGGCGUCAAAAUCAAGUUCCUCAACACCGAGCUCUUCGGCGGCCUGUGCGAGCCGAGCCGGAACAUGCGCCAACUGCUGCAUCGGGCUGCGGCGGAAGAUCAGCAGACCUCAACGCCAUGCUCCAGGACCAGGACUGGAGGAGGUUCGUGGCGUUGCCGUGCAAGGAUCAGCAAUUUGCGUCCUGGACUGUUCCACGCAAUUGCAGGUAACCAAGACAUGUUCAACGUUAUGCACAUUAUGUGUUUCUGAUCAAGAGGAGGCCGUCUUUGCAGUCUUCAGAAACUGGAGCGGUAGGACAAGAGGAAGCUCUCCGUUUGUCCAGUGACUAGUUCAGAGUUCAGAACAUGGAUGAUGUAAACAAAAUGUGGGAAGAUUGUAAGUUCCUUUUUGUUGUGAUUUCAGAACAUGGAUGAUGUAAACAAAAUGUGGGAAGAUUGUUAGUUCCUUUUUGUUGUUGCUUGUACUGUAGGUAGCUGAUAUUAACCAAGUGAAUUACUAAGUAUUGACUGCCGCAAUGAAUUAUUCGCACAUUUCGACUCCCUGUAAGCAAAAGAGAGGGACUGAACGAUGCAGCUCAAAGUAACUUCAGGAAAUACAGAAACCUGCUAAUCGAUGCCUAUAUAUCCACUUGCUUGUGUUUCAUUUUUAACUAAAAUGGAGGAAUCUUAAAGUUUCAGCAUGGAACCACACAUUAAGUCCCAUGUGAGUAAAGAUGCCCUUAGGGAAAAAUAUAUUAAGUACUUGGACAUUGUUGCCCCAAAUCCGGUGCGGUUACAUUUGCAGGCGUUUAUCUUCCGACAUCUGCAUUUCUGAAGCUCUGCGUGCCAUGUCUCAUGCUAACAAAAAAAAAGAAAGAAAGAAAAAGAA